This is a non-coding RNA of Microcebus murinus (gray mouse lemur), 1018 nucleotides long. The record is from RefSeq and is a predicted model, not a curated record. NCBI's taxonomy places the organism in Eukaryota, Metazoa, Chordata, Mammalia, Primates, Cheirogaleidae.
CAGAAGACCAUUUUUUAUAUGGAAUGACUUUGGUGCCUAGACGGUGAAUGCAAAUGCCCACAGACUCCAUUGGUGCCACUGUUGUUUCCAGGUUAGGGGUGAUUGUCUUAAUAACAACAGCAUAAUCUCAUCCAAUGCUCAUUACAACUUUAUAAGGUCAGUGUUCUCAGUUGUAUUAAAGAAAAACCAAAUGUACCAGAUCUAGCCACUGGCCAUGACAGCAUGAACAUACCAAAUAAGGAACCCCUUAUGGAGAAAAAGGGCUAAGUGUGACAUUACAGAGCUGUAUCUCUCAAGUCUCCAAAACCUAGAAAAUUCUAUUGUGGAGCCCUACUCAAUUCAUUAAGAAGGAAGGAAGUUCUCCAAGAUAUUUCCAAGCUUGCCUGGACCCUCAGGAGCAUGUACAAUGGCAUCAGGGUGGUAGAAAGCAACAGAAGCCAUGGGAAGUGAGGCCACUCAGAGUGGCAGAGUCCAGAGGAAGUGACAAGACAGAGAUGCAGGAGGGUGAGGCACAGGGCAGAGACUGGAAUUCCACCUCCUUCCAGACCACCCUGUCCAAAGUCAUGUCCUUUUGCUUUUCCAACAACGAUGAUCCGCACCACUCAUGAUCUGCUUUUUGAUUUCCCAUCUACAGCCCACCUACUGCAGCCAGGCAAUAUAAUUUUUUGGAGAAAGAACCUCAAAACUGGAGAGAUUUCAGAGGCCAGUUAUUCCAACCUCUUACCCAAGGCAGGACCUAUCCUCUUUACUCCACUUGAUGUGAAGUUACUUAUCACUGUGUUUGGCAAAGUAGAUGCUCAAAAAAGCCCCUGGGACCUACACCUUCUGAGAUAGGAAACUUAGUACCUCAACUUUAGAUGUUCUAAAUGUUACAAACUCUUCUUGUUAUUGGACACAAAUUGUCCACCUUAUAAAUUUGUAUCAUUGGAUCUUCUCUCUGAAACCAAAUAGACUAAUUCCAUCUCCUUUUCACCAUAAUGUAAACAAAUAUAUACUUUUUUAUUUUGUAUGUUUAGAG